UACAGAGGGUGCGAGCGUUAAUCGGAAUGACUGGGCGUAAAGGGUGCGUAGGUGGUUGUUUAAGUGUGUUGUGAAAGCCCCGGGCUUAACCUGGGAAUGGCAACGCAUACUGAAUGACUAGAGUAGGUGAGAGGCGUGUGGAAUUUCCGGUGUAGCGGUGAAAUGCGUAGAGAUCGGAUAGAACACCAGUGGCGAAGGCGGCACGCUGGCACCAUACUGACACUGAGGCACGAAGGCGUGGGGAGCAAACAGGAUUAGAUACCCUGGUAGUCCACGCAGUAAACGAUGAGAACUGGAUGAGUGCGGAGUUAAAUCCGUGCGUAUCGAAGCUAACGCGUUAAGUUCUCCGCCUGGGGAGUACGGCCGCAAGGUUAAA
This 376-nucleotide ribosomal RNA is filed under the name uncultured bacterium. RNAcentral's name for it is "bacterial SSU rRNA". It matches the Rfam family "Bacterial small subunit ribosomal RNA", at positions 524 to 898 of the family's 1533-position model. The record is from RNAcentral.